AAUAGACCUUUUUCAAUCCACAAAUUUAAUGAGCUUUACAUUGUACAGUAAUUACUGGCAUGAGCCAAGUGUAUUCCAAUAUUUCUAUAAGCAAUUUGUAUAUUGUAGAUUGCAAUCUGCUUUUGGUAAAAAUUAAGGAAGCAAUGAGCUAUUAACUCUCAAAGAAAACAAGCAAUAUAUUAUCGAGAUCAAGAAUAUAACGAAUUCAGC
This is a non-coding RNA of Pelobates cultripes (western spadefoot toad), 210 nucleotides long. The record is from the annotation of a GenBank genome assembly. NCBI's taxonomy places the organism in Eukaryota, Metazoa, Chordata, Amphibia, Anura, Pelobatidae.